Podarcis lilfordi (Lilford's wall lizard) is the source of this 69-nucleotide non-coding RNA. The record is from the annotation of a GenBank genome assembly. Lineage: Eukaryota; Metazoa; Chordata; Lepidosauria; Squamata; Lacertidae.
GCUGUAGCUCGGUGGAAGGGCAUCUGCUUUGCAUGCAGAAGGUCCCAGAUUCAAUCCCUGGCAUCUCCG